RNAcentral lists this ribosomal RNA (242 nucleotides) under uncultured bacterium. Its description in RNAcentral is "partial 16S ribosomal RNA". It matches the Rfam family "Bacterial small subunit ribosomal RNA", at positions 92 to 334 of the family's 1533-position model. The record is from RNAcentral.
CGACCGGCGCACGGGUGAGUAACACGUAUCCAACCUGCCGAUAACUCGGGGAUAGCCUUUCGAAAGAAAGAUUAAUACAAGAUGGCAUCAUGAGUCCGCAUGUUCACAUGAUUAAAGGUAUUCCGGUAGACGAUGGGGAUGCGUUCCGUUAGAUAGUAGGCGGGGUAACGGCCCACCUAGUCUUCGAUGGAUAGGGGUUCUGAGAGGAAGGUCCCCCACAUUGGAACUGAGACACGGUCCAA